RNAcentral lists this unclassified non-coding RNA (390 nucleotides) under soil metagenome. RNAcentral describes it as "partial contains 5.8S ribosomal RNA, internal transcribed spacer 2, and large subunit ribosomal RNA". The stretch from base 4 to 121 matches the Rfam family "5.8S ribosomal RNA", at positions 39 to 154 of the family's 154-position model. The record is from RNAcentral.
GAUAAGAACGCAGCGAAAUGCGAUACUUGGUGUGAAUUGCAGAAUCCCGUGAACCAUCGAGUCUUUGAACGCAAGUUGCGCCCGAAGCCACUAGGCCGAGGGCACGCCUGCCUGGGCGUCACACGCCGUUGCCCCCCCAUCUACUCCUUCGGGAUUGCGGGGGGGCGGAUGAUGGCCUCCUGUGCGCCUAGCCGCGCGGUUGGCAUAAAUACCAAGUCCUCGGCGACGCACGCCACGACAAUCGGUGGUUGCGAAACCUCGGUUGCCCGUCGUGUGCGUUCGUCGCGCAUCGAGGGCUCGAAAAAAUGCUCGGCUCCGGCUGGGCUUUCAACGCGACCCCAGGUCAGGCGGGGUUACCCGCUGAAUUUAAGCAUAUCAAUAAGCGGAGGA